Molecule: long non-coding RNA, 781 nt
Filed under: Carica papaya (papaya)
Lineage: Eukaryota; Viridiplantae; Streptophyta; Magnoliopsida; Brassicales; Caricaceae
Description: long non-coding RNA (CPAP_LNC008634)
Source: RNAcentral
AAUAUAUGUAACAAAUAUAAAUAUGCCUACUUAAACAAUAUGUAGCAUUAUUGUUAAAUAAUUUCUGAGAUAGAAAAAGAAUGUACAUAUCUACAUGUAUGUAUAUCCUCUAUUCUCCUUUAAUUCUAUUCCAAAGAGUUUUCUUUCUCUUCUCUAAAGUCCAAAUUCCAAACACAAAUUUUUACGUCUUAUCAUCACCCAUCAUAUAGCAAGAAGAAGUUUUGAUAAGAGCUUCCAAUGCAUGGCCACCACAGAACUUGAACAAAUGACGACUAGUUAGAGAGCCUUGUCAUCCACCACCUCCAUGCCUAGAGCCUCUACAGAUGCUGCCACCAGCACCAUAGGGAUUUGUGUACUACACGGUGGAAGAUGGCACGUGCAUCCAGAUUCUAAUUAAAAAUGGUGAUCAAACUCGGUCCGUUAAUCAACGAACAUUAUCAUGCAGUCUGGAUUUUACGUAUAGUCGACAUAAAGUCUAAAAGAUGAAACUUCCAAUCUGCGUAAUAAUUAAGCCAAACUGAUGAUUAGGGGAGGUUAGGGCUGUGCAUUUUACAUAUAACAAAUGCAAGUGUGGCACUAACAGUCCCUAAAGUCUCUUGUAGCAAUAAAAGCAGACACAAGAGGUGCAUUCUGCCUUUUAGAUCUCUUUUACAUGAUCUGCAAAUUUUGUAACUUACCUUUUCUUCAUCAGCAUGACAGUUUAUCUUUUAGAAACACAUAUAUACACAUUACUUAGUAUAACAUGUAGUGGAUUUGCACAUAAAUAUAUACAUAUACAACA